GAUGAACGCUGGCGGCGUGCCUAAUACAUGCAAGUCGAGCGAACGGACGAGAAGCUUGCUUCUCUGAUGUUAGCGGCGGACGGGUGAGUAACACGUGGAUAACCUACCUAUAAGACUGGGAUAACUUCGGGAAACCGGAGCUAAUACCGGAUAAUAUUUUGAACCGCAUGGUUCAAAAGUGAAAGACGGUCUUGCUGUCACUUAUAGAUGGAUCCGCGCUGCAUUAGCUAGUUGGUAAGGUAACGGCUUACCAAGGCAACGAUGCAUAGCCGACCUGAGAGGGUGAUCGGCCACACUGGAACUGAGACACGGUCCAGACUCCUACGGGAGGCAGCAGUAGGGAAUCUUCCGCAAUGGGCGAAAGCCUGACGGAGCAACGCCGCGUGAGUGAUGAAGGUCUUCGGAUCGUAAAACUCUGUUAUUAGGGAAGAACAUAUGUGUAAGUAACUGUGCACAUCUUGACGGUACCUAAUCAGAAAGCCACGGCUAACUACGUGCCAGCAGCCGCGGUAAUACGUAGGUGGCAAGCGUUAUCCGGAAUUAUUGGGCGUAAAGCGCGCGUAGGCGGUUUUUUAAGUCUGAUGUGAAAGCCCACGGCUCAACCGUGGAGGGUCAUUGGAAACUGGAAAACUUGAGUGCAGAAGAGGAAAGUGGAAUUCCAUGUGUAGCGGUGAAAUGCUCAGAGAUAUGGAGGAACACCAGUGGCGAAGGCGACUUUCUGGUCUGUAACUGACGCUGAUGUGCGAAAGCGUGGGGAUCAAACAGGAUUAGAUACCCUGGUAGUCCACGCCGUAAACGAUGAGUGCUAAGUGUUAGGGGGUUUCCGCCCCUUAGUGCUGCAGCUAACGCAUUAAGCACUCCGCCUGGGGAGUACGACCGCAAGGUUGAAACUCAAAGGAAUUGACGGGGACCCGCACAAGCGGUGGAGCAUGUGGUUUAAUUCGAAGCAACGCGAAGAACCUUACCAAAUCUUGACAUCCUUUGACAACUCUAGAGAUAGAGCCUUCCCCUUCGGGGGACAAAGUGACAGGUGGUGCAUGGUUGUCGUCAGCUCGUGUCGUGAGAUGUUGGGUUAAGUCCCGCAACGAGCGCAACCCUUAAGCUUAGUUGCCAUCAUUAAGUUGGGCACUCUAAGUUGACUGCCGGUGACAAACCGGAGGAAGGUGGGGAUGACGUCAAAUCAUCAUGCCCCUUAUGAUUUGGGCUACACACGUGCUACAAUGGACAAUACAAAGGGCAGCGAAACCGCGAGGUCAAGCAAAUCCCAUAAAGUUGUUCUCAGUUCGGAUUGUAGUCUGCAACUCGACUACAUGAAGCUGGAAUCGCUAGUAAUCGUAGACCAGCAUGCUACGGUGAAUGCGUCCCCGGGUCU
RNAcentral lists this ribosomal RNA (1372 nucleotides) under uncultured bacterium. RNAcentral describes it as "bacterial SSU rRNA". It matches the Rfam family "Bacterial small subunit ribosomal RNA", at positions 28 to 1381 of the family's 1533-position model. The record is from RNAcentral.